GAUGAAGAACGUAGUGAAAUGCGAUAAUUAAUGUGAAUUGCAGAAUUCAGUGAAUCAUCGAGUCUUUGAACGCACAUUGCGCCCCCUGGUAUUCCGGGGGGCAUGCCUGUCCGAGCGUCAUUGCUGCCCUCAAGCACGGCUUGUGUGUUGGGCUUCCGUCCCUGGCAACGGGGACGGGCCCAAAAGGCAGUGGCGGCACCAUGUCUGGUCCUCGAGCGUAUGGGGCUUUGUCACCCGCUCCCGUAGGUCCAGCUGGCAGCUAGCCUCGCAACCAAUCUUUUUAACCAGGUUGACCUCGGAUCAGGUAGGGAUACCCGUUGAACUUAAGCAUAUCAAUAAGCGGAGGA
This 347-nucleotide unclassified non-coding RNA is filed under the name soil metagenome. RNAcentral's name for it is "partial contains 5.8S ribosomal RNA, internal transcribed spacer 2, and large subunit ribosomal RNA". The stretch from base 1 to 120 matches the Rfam family "5.8S ribosomal RNA", at positions 35 to 154 of the family's 154-position model. The record is from RNAcentral.